AGUGCACCAGUGGGGUCCCUUGGCCUGGUCUGCGCCCUCUAGCAAUCCAGGACCUCUGGAGAGAUGUCGGAGAGCCGGUUUCAGCCUGAUCCUGCAGGCCAGGCCAAGGGACCCCACUGGUGCACA
RNAcentral lists this microRNA precursor (126 nucleotides) under Myotis lucifugus (little brown bat). RNAcentral describes it as "mir-9193 microRNA precursor family". Lineage: Eukaryota; Metazoa; Chordata; Mammalia; Chiroptera; Vespertilionidae. The record is from Rfam by way of RNAcentral.